UUAUGAUAUAUAUUGUGGUACAAAGUAUUUUGAUAUAGAUCGGAUUUAUGCUCUCAGCCUAACUAUGUUUCAGUGGGCCCCGCCAAUGGGGAUUAUACGUUGGUACUCAGUGGACCCUGUCAGUGGGGGUUGUGCGCUGGUGUUUGUGGACCCUGCCAGUGGGGGUUGUGCACUGGUAUUCUGUGGACCCCGUCAAUGGGGGUUAAACGUUGGUCAUAGUCA
Molecule: long non-coding RNA, 222 nt
Filed under: Elaeis guineensis (African oil palm)
Lineage: Eukaryota; Viridiplantae; Streptophyta; Magnoliopsida; Arecales; Arecaceae
Description: long non-coding RNA (EGUI_LNC023646)
Source: RNAcentral